GACGAACGCUGGCGGCGUGCUUAACACAUGCAAGUCGUACGGUAAGGCCCUUUCGGGGGUCCACGAGUGGCGAACGGGUGAGUAACACGUGAGUAACCUGCCCACAACUUUGGGAUAACGCUAGGAAACUGGUGCUAAUACUGGAUAUGUGCUCCUGCUGCAUGGUGGGGGUUGGAAAGCUCCGGCGGUUGUGGAUGGACUCGCGGCCUAUCAGCUUGUUGGUGGGGUAGUGGCCUACCAAGGCGGCGACGGGUAGCCGGCCUGAGAGGGUGACCGGCCACAUUGGGACUGAGAUACGGCCCAGACUCCUACGGGAGGCAGCAGGGGGGAAUAUUGCACAAUGGGCGCAAGCCUGAUGCAGCAACGCCGCGUGCGGGAUGACGGCCUUCGGGUUGUAAACCGCUUUCAGCAGGGACGAAGCUUUUUGUGACGGUACCUGCAGAAGAAGCACCGGCCAACUACGUG
Molecule: ribosomal RNA, 465 nt
Filed under: uncultured bacterium
Lineage: Bacteria
Description: partial 16S ribosomal RNA
Rfam family: Bacterial small subunit ribosomal RNA
Source: RNAcentral